This 207-nucleotide ribosomal RNA is filed under the name uncultured bacterium. RNAcentral's name for it is "partial 16S ribosomal RNA". It matches the Rfam family "Bacterial small subunit ribosomal RNA", at positions 568 to 774 of the family's 1533-position model. The record is from RNAcentral.
CGUGUAGGUGGCUUGGAAAGUUGGGUGUGAAAGCCCGGGGCCCAACCCCGGAAUUGCACUCAAAACUUCCUCGCUAGAGUCUCGGAGAGGAAAGCGGAAUUCCCGGUGUAGAGGUGAAAUCCGUAGAUAUCGGGAGGAACACCAGUGGCGAAGGCGGCUUUCUGGACGAUGACUGACACUGAGACGCGAAAGCGUGGGGAGCAAACA